AUACUUAGUCAGCACAUCAUCCAGAUAAAAAGCUUUGGGGAUGCUUUCACUAAGGAGCUUGAGAGAAGGGAUGCAGUCAUUUGGUGUUGGGUCUUUUCAGCAAGCUUUUCCUAAUGGGACGUUUUCAGGGACUUGUCAGCCUUAAGAUGACUGAAAUCUUCCUGGCCUGGGUACCAGCUUCAUCUGGCUGCCACUGAGACUGCCAAGCUGAUCGCUUUAAAUUCUACUUUUCUUUUCCUCUUUUUUUCCUUUCUUUCUUUCUUUUUUUUUUGGUUAUGCGUGGGAGGAAUAGGGGCUCAGAGCAAGACAGAGAAAAAGAAAAGAAUAAGAUGAGGAUGGAGAGGCAGAGACAGAGGAGAAGAGGGACAGAAAGAGCAAGUGGUUAGACGAGAGGGCCUGAUGAGCAAUGAGCGCCUCACUCGUCCUCAAUUAAUCUUGUCUUUCUACCUUUGCUUUGGCGCUUCCCUUGGCACCAAGUAUAUCAUCUGGAAAACACACAGCCCCCUUUCUGCUGGACGCUGUUUGAGGAUUAUCGCGGGUGACACCUUCGGGAUGCAGCCAGAAUCUGGAGCAUCAUUUUUUCAGCCAUAAAGUGGAAUUACCCUGACUUAUCUGUCAUUGCCAAAAGCACAACAAGCCAUUCAGGGCCAAAGCAAAGGUGGAACAGGUUCUUAUCGGCUUCUCUGAACGAAAGGGCUUGUAAAUUUAUGCUAAUGAGGGCCUUUGUCAUCCAGGCUCACCCCUUGGGGCUGAACGCGGUUUGCAAGGGAUGAUAAUCUGGCUGUUGAGUGCACUAGAUAAUUUGUACUUUAUCCUCAUGUAAUUAUAUAGUUUAAAUCUUUUUACCAAUGCUAAUCCUUCAACAUGAGGAAGUGUCUUAACCGUGUCCAUGGUUCUUAGCAGCACUAGUUAGCGUGCAUCUGACUCCCUCAUAAAAUCACGUAGGAGGAGUGCAGCGCUGAUAUAAUUACUCUGACUUUCUGUAGCCUGUGCUGUGAAUCCUCCUAUCAUUUUGAUCCACCUUAGCAGCCAGGCAGUAAGCCAAGCUAGCAGCCUGGGGGUAUGGAAGACAACACAGGAAAAGGUGAAAACAUUGUAGCCUGACUGAAGAGCUCUUUCCAUUUUUUGUCAAGAGUAGAAAAAAAAAUGACAGGGUGAAGAGGAAAAUGAGGUAAAAUUAGUAAAAGUAAGAGCAGUAGGGCAGCUUCGCAGAGCUUUUGAGGUCCCUCUGCUGUCCAGUGGGACUCCACGCCAUCUCUCGUGCCUGCCAAAGCCGACAGCCCCUGACAAGCUGCUUGGCGUGCUGUAAUUUGACUAAUUACACUGGAUUAGACCAUAUUAAUGCAAGCUGUUUUCUCCAGGGUCAUUGACCCACCCAGUGUGUCCCUUGCUGGCUUUCCUCAAUUCUGCGUAAACAAAAGAAUCUCAAGAAAAUAAAGCAGAUUUUUUUAAAUAAG
Molecule: long non-coding RNA, 1457 nt
Organism: Pelmatolapia mariae (spotted tilapia)
Lineage: Eukaryota; Metazoa; Chordata; Actinopteri; Cichliformes; Cichlidae
Exons: 2
Source: RefSeq, a predicted model, not a curated record